This is a long non-coding RNA of Oncorhynchus keta (chum salmon), 2261 nucleotides long. RefSeq lists it as uncharacterized. The record is from RefSeq and is a predicted model, not a curated record. The transcript has 4 exons. NCBI's taxonomy places the organism in Eukaryota, Metazoa, Chordata, Actinopteri, Salmoniformes, Salmonidae.
UUCCCUUCCUGACACUCGCUUUUUAAUCAAAUUAAAGAAAAAAAAGGGGGGAGUCUAUUAACUGCAUUUGUAUUCAAACCUAUAAUGGUUGUUUCUACUACUCUCUCUCUCUCUCCCUCUGUCUCUGUGUCUCUCUCUCUCUCCUCUCUGUCUCUGUCUUUCUCCCUCUCUCUCUCUCUCUCUCUCUCUCUCUCUCUCUCUCUCUCUCUCUCUCUCUCUCUCUCUCCCUCUGUCUCUCUGUCUCUCUGUCUCUGUCUUUCUCUCUCUCGCUCUGUCUCUCUGUCUCUGUCUUUCUCCCUGUCUUUCUCGCUCUCCCUCUGUCUCUGUGUCUCUCUCACUCUCAGUCUCUCUAUAUUUAUAAUUAUAUGAGGUACUGUGUGAAGACAGAGAGCUGAUGGUAUAUGAGGUACUGUGUGAAGACAGAGAGCUGAUGGUAUAUGAGGUACUGUGUGAAGACAGAGAGCUGAUGGUAUAUGAGGUACUGUGUGAAGACAGAGAGCUGAUGGUAUAUGAGGUACUGUGUGAAGACAGAGAGCUGUUGGUAUAUGAGGUACUGUGUGAAGACAGAGAGCUGAUGGUAUAUGAGGUACUGUGUGAAGACAGAGAGCUGUUGGUAUAUGAGGUACAGUGUGAAGACAGAGAGCUGAUGGUAUAUGAGGUACAGUGUGAAGACAGAGAGCUGAUGGUAUAUGAGGUACUGUGUGAAGACAGAGAGCUGAUGGUAUAUGAGGUACUGUGUGAAGACAGAGAGCUGAUGGUAUAUGAGGUACUGUGUGAAGACAGAGAGCUGAUGGUAUAUGAGGUACUGUGUGAAGACAGAGAGCUGAUGGUAUAUGAGGUACUGUGUGAAGACAGAGAGCUGAUGGUAUAUGAGGUACUGUGUGAAGACAGAGAGCUGAUGGUAUAUGAGGUACUGUGUGAAGACAGAGAGCUGAUGGUAUAUGAGGUACUGUGUGAAGACAGAGAGCUGAUGGUAUAUGAGGUACUGUGUGAAGACAGAGAGCUGAUGGUAUACCUGGAUUCGGUCUUAUGUAGUAACAUUUGACAUUGUGUUUUUUUACAUUGGAUAAAAGUAGAGACUCGGAGCUACAACAUGGUAUAUUAUACACCACUGUUGAGGAAACAAUGAGAAAGUAUUUCUGCUUUGAAAGUUGAUCAACUUGUAAACUCACUUUUAAGAAAACCGUCUUUCAAUGUUUUUGUAUCUAGUGAAGAGCUCUCCUAUGUCUCCAUCCAUUCAGCAUUGUUCACACCCUCUUAAGCCUUAGCUCUGUCCUCACAACUACAGUCAAAGCACCCAAGCUAACUGGCUAACAUUGGCUAGCUACAUCCAGAUGCAUAAUGAGAGAACACCCCACUCUGACCAUUUUACUCCCCCUAGCAGAGCUGGUUAGGCUUUUGUUAUGUUAUCCAGAGCGUUGGUGACUGUAACUGUGCUGCUAGCAACCAUUGAAUUAUGUUUUCCGACAUUUACUGACACUGGUAAUAUUCAAUGGGUGUUGAACGUACAAAAAUGUAUCAGUUAUUCUGCACUCUGGCACACUACGUCGAGAGUAUUUUGUUAAUUAAGAAAUGUAGCUAGAUAGCUAGCUAGGUAUACAAUGAAUCCAAACACAUGACGUAACGUUAGUUAGCGGGCCAGCCAGAUAACGUUAGCUAGCUAGCUAACAGUACACUUUAACUUGAAAUGAAAAUACUUUGUCAAAAUUAGACGUCUUUCGUUAAGACAUGUAGCUAGCUAGCUGGCUAGCUAAACAAUGGACCAUAAUCACAAGUCAUGACGUUACUACCCUGCAUGAAUCUGUAGGUAGCUAACCAACUAGGUUUUAAUGUCUGUAACUAGUCAAGCAAAUGUGUCUGAGAUACGAAGAAUAAGAUCAUACACAUAACGUUAUAGCUAGCGACCCAGCCAGCUAACGUUAGCUAGCUAACAGUACACUUUCUGUCAAAAUUAGAAACAUGUAAAAAAAUCUUACCAGUAUCCAUCAUGGUUGGAUGCCUAUCCUGUCUGAUGCCAUGCAUGGUUGCCUUAAGUUUGAAGAUGUAACUAUCAUACUCAAAUUCCACUGAUUUCAAAACUCGGUCCUCCGGAAAGUGGAGAGCGUACACUAGCUAGCGAGCCAACCAGUUAACGUUAGCGAGCCAACCAGUUAACGCUAACGAGCCAACCAGUUAACGUUAGCGAGCCAACCAGUUAACGCUAGGGAGCCAACCAGUUAACGCUAGCGAGCCAACCAGUUAACGUUAGUGAGCCAACCAGU